RNAcentral lists this ribosomal RNA (370 nucleotides) under uncultured bacterium. RNAcentral describes it as "bacterial SSU rRNA". It matches the Rfam family "Bacterial small subunit ribosomal RNA", at positions 527 to 895 of the family's 1533-position model. The record is from RNAcentral.
GUAGGUGGCAAGCGUUGUCCGGAUUUACUGGGCGUAAAGAGCGCGCAGGCGGUCGUUCAAGUCGCGUGUGAAAGCCCCCGGCUCAACUGGGGAGGGUCACGCGAUACUGAUCGACUCGAAGGCAGGAGAGGGUAGUGGAAUUCCCGGUGUAGUGGUGAAAUGCGUAGAUAUCGGGAGGAACACCAGUGGCGAAGGCGACUACCUGGCCUGUUCUUGACGCUGAGGCGCGAAAGCUAGGGGAGCAAACGGGAUUAGAUACCCCGGUAGUCCUAGCCGUAAACGAUGGACACUAGGUGUUGGUGGUAUCAACCCCGCCAGUGCCGAAGCUAACGCAUUAAGUGUCCCGCCUGGGGAGUACGGCCGCAAGGCU